UACGUAGGUGACCAGCGUUGUCCGGAUUUACUGGGCGUAAAGAGCGCGCAGGCGGUCGUUCAAGUCGAGUGUGAAAGCCCCCGGCUCAACUGGGGAAGGUCACUCGAUACUGAUCGACUUGAAGGCAGGAGAGGGAAGCGGAAUUCCCGGUGUAGUGGUGAAAUGCGUAGAUAUCGGGAGGAACACCAGUGGCGAAGGCGGCUUCCUGGCCUGUUCUUGACGCUGAGGCGCGAAAGCUAGGGGAGCAAACGGG
This 253-nucleotide ribosomal RNA is filed under the name uncultured bacterium. RNAcentral's name for it is "partial 16S ribosomal RNA". It matches the Rfam family "Bacterial small subunit ribosomal RNA", at positions 524 to 776 of the family's 1533-position model. The record is from RNAcentral.